RNAcentral lists this ribosomal RNA (429 nucleotides) under Chloroflexota bacterium. Its description in RNAcentral is "Chloroflexi bacterium partial 16S ribosomal RNA". It matches the Rfam family "Bacterial small subunit ribosomal RNA", at positions 355 to 776 of the family's 1533-position model. Lineage: Bacteria; Bacillati; Chloroflexota. The record is from RNAcentral.
UGGGGAAUAUUGCACAAUGGGCGCAAGCCUGAUGCAGCCAUGCCGCGUGUGUGAAGAAGGCCUUCGGGUUGUAAAGCACUUUCAGCGGGGAGGAAGGCGUUAAGGUUAAUAACCUUGGCGAUUGACGUUACCCGCAGAAGAAGCACCGGCUAACUCCGUGCCAGCAGCCGCGGUAAUACGGAGGGUGCAAGCGUUAAUCGGAAUUACUUGGCGUAAAGCGCACGCAGGCGGUCUGUCAAGUCGGAUGUGAAAUCCCCGGGCUCAACCUGGGAACUGCAUUCGAAACUGGCAGGCUAGAGUCUUGUAGAGGGGGGUAGAAUUCCAGGUGUAGCGGUGAAAUGCGUAGAGAUCUGGAGGAAUACCGGUGGCGAAGGCGGCCCCCUGGACGAAGACUGACGCUCAGGUGCGAAAGCGUGGGGAGCAAACAGG